Molecule: long non-coding RNA, 920 nt
Organism: Ornithodoros turicata
Lineage: Eukaryota; Metazoa; Arthropoda; Arachnida; Ixodida; Argasidae
Exons: 5
Source: RefSeq, a predicted model, not a curated record
UGGCAUCUGUCACAUCUGCUUUGUCAUUCCUUGUCUAUUUAUUGUUCUGUUCUGCACGCUACCAAACAUGCAGGUGCAGUAUGCUAUCCUGCACUUCACUGAUCGCAAUGAAACUGAAGUUGUGCCAUGUUCCCGGCUCCCCGGAGAUGUACGCGGAAGGGACGACUGAUUCGAAGAGCUACCUUCCAGGAAGCCAAUGUGAAGAACAGGAAGUUGCCGUAAAAGGAAUACAUAAGUGCUAAAAUGAUGCGAGAAAAAUGCUCCCUGCUUCUGAGUGGACGUCUGACUUAAACGCUUCAAACGAACUGCGUCCGAAACGACCUCGUCGUCCCAGAGUGACGAAGACGACUACCCCGCAGUUCUUGAUACCUUUCUGCGAAGAGACAGGUUGUCUUCAAUGUGCACCACACCGAAGACACAAGUGAAAUGGCAGGAGGAUCCGCCGGCAGUAGCGUUAGCAACCAAGGGACUGCCGAUCGCCUUCCAAUGUCUGCCGUCUUGAAUGCACAAGAAAAGAAGCAUACAUGCAAGGGAGUUCGAAAACAUUGCGGGUGUCUCUGGAACGAUUGGAUGCAUCGAUGGGACGCACAUCCAAAUACGAUGUCCAGUGCAUAAGAUCUAAUCAACAUAUAUUAAUCGACAUGACAAUCCUUCCCUUGCAAUGCAAGGAGUGUGUGACCUCCAGCCCCGCUUCCUUGAUGUAACAACGGAGAACCGAGGGGAAGUACAUGAUGCCCGAGUUUUUAGAACGUCAUCAAUUGGUGAAAAGCUGCCAUACAUAUGUCGUGUCAGCAAGUAUCACAUUUUUCGUGGUCCGGCAUAUCCCUGGAGGAAGUACCUGCUUACUCCGUUCAGGGAUUAUGGUACACUCUAAAAAAGAAGGGAGUCAAAAGGAAAGAGAGCCAAACUACCACAGUGUA